CCACGGCCAUACCACCCUGAACGGGCCCGAUCUCGUCUGAUCUUAGAAGCUAAGCAGGGUCGGGCCUGAUUAACGCUCGGAUGGGCAGAUGGAUGGA
Molecule: ribosomal RNA, 97 nt
Filed under: Neogale vison (American mink)
Lineage: Eukaryota; Metazoa; Chordata; Mammalia; Carnivora; Mustelidae
Source: RNAcentral